UGGGGCGGGGGCGAAGGGGAGGCCAGGACAGAGCCAGGAGCCUCCGGAGAGUGCUUUAGCUGCCUGGUGCCUUGUCAUUAAAACGAAUGCCGGACGGCGCAGGAAGCAGACCUUGGGAAGACGUCCAUGUGGUCGCCUUGGUCUAGGGGUUUCUCCCUGAACCCCUGGGUUUUGGAAGGAGUUUUCCGCCCUCGCGAGCGUUUUUCAUAUAAAACGGGGCCAUUGGAUCGUGGCAGGGUACUGCAGUCGGUUUUGGAGUGCUGGUCACCAGGCACAGCCACUAAGAAUUGAUGAAGAGAGAAACUGUGUCCGAAGCAAUUGAGCAGAGCGCUCUCUGCAUGGGGUCUUCCCAGCCCACUGGUAACGGUUGAAUCAAGAUGGAGCGAGUUUGGAGAUGUACAUCAAAGCUUCUCCUGCUUCACGUGUCUCCAAAGCGUUCCUUGGCUGCCAGGGAAGAAGAGCAUCACACUCAUGGUGAACACUGAUAAUUAAAGUCAACAUCUCUGCACACUGAGUCAAUUUAUUGAACACCUUUUUUAUUGCUAGGAACCUCCAGUACUGUGCUUCUCUGUUGGUCUUGACCUGACUAUUUCCCAAGUGAUGCAGGAGGGUCUUUCAACCUCAAUGACUAGAAGCAGCAAAAACAUCUGAUCUCCCUUCGACAAAGACAAACAGCAGACCAGAAGGAAAAUUGAGAGCAUUUUAUUUUCAUUAAAACAUAUCGGAUAUUAA
RNAcentral lists this long non-coding RNA (732 nucleotides) under Mus musculus (house mouse). RNAcentral's name for it is "predicted gene 20501". The record is from RNAcentral. Lineage: Eukaryota; Metazoa; Chordata; Mammalia; Rodentia; Muridae.